UGGAGGCUGGACAUCCGAGAUCAAGGUGUCGGCAGGGUUGGUUUCUUCUGAGGCCUCUCUCCUUGGCUUGUAGACGGCUGUCUUCCCUUGUGUCUUCACAUGGUCUUCCCUCUGUACCUAUCUAUGUCCUAAUCUUUUCUUAGAAGGACAUCAGUCAUACUGGAUUAGAGCCCACCCUCAUGACCUCGUUUUAACUUAGUUACCUCUUUAAAGACCCUACCUCCAAAUACAGUCACAUUCUGAGGUCCUGGGGGUUAGGGCUUCAACAUAUGAAUUUUGGGAUGACACAAUUCAACCCAUAACAGCAGCUUAUUCUGGGUCAUCUGUGUGUGUUCAUAUGUCCCUAAAGAGGUUUAAUCAGUGAAUAACAUGUUGUGUCCCUGAUGGCAUUAUUCUUCCUAUUUUUUGCUGUCAUAAUACACUGGCUUCCUCAAUGCAAUUAACCUUUUUAUUUUGAAGAGAGAAAGAAAAACAUUUUAAAGUACAGUCCAAGGGACCUUGAUCAUCUGGACAUUCCUUUAAACGUUGAGCUGGUCCACCAUAUUGAUGAGAUGAUACUGUGUUAAUUCAACCUGAGGAGCAAGAAGGGGCAAAUUCUAUGAACGCUUAGGCAAGAAACACUGACGCCUGAGGUUAGAAGUGCAAUAGAAUUUUUGAAAACCCGAAGGACUCCAGCUCUGUCAAAUAUCAGCAUUUUCCCAUAUUUCCCAUAGAGCAGGGCUCUGUGUAUGGUGGUUAAGGGUCCAGACUUCAAAGUGAUGCUCCCUGGAUGCAAUCCCUCUUCUACUACCUAAAUAAGUUCCUUGCUGUAGAGCUUUGGCCCCCUGGUACAUAGUUGUAUGUAUAUUCUUCGUUGUGGGUCCUUCUGGCUGUGGCACAUGGGACACCGCCUCAGCGUGGUUUGACGAGCCGUGCCAGUCCGCGCCCAGGAUUUGAACCAACGAAACACUGGGCCGCCUGCAGCCAAGGGCGCGAACUUAACCACUCAGCCACGGGACCAGCCCUGAUUGUUUCCAAUUUUUUUGCUGUUACAAGGAUUCAGUGAACAAUAUAGCACAAAUCUCCUUGUAUACUUGUUCCUGAGUUUCUCUGGACUAUAUAUCUAGAAGUUGUAUGGCCAAAUCAAAGGAAAUGAACCAUUUUUAUUGGGUAUCGCCAAAUUGCUCUCCAAAACAGUUGUUCUAACUUAAGUGUCAACCAGCGGCGUGUGUGAGAACUCCCAUGUGUUAAGACUCACCGAUACUUGGUAUUAUCCGACUUUUUAAUUUUUCCCAAUCUGAUUGGUAUGACAUAAUUUCUUGUUUUGAUUUGUCUAUUUCUAGUUUCUAAUUAAGUUAAACCUCUUU
This 1346-nucleotide long non-coding RNA is filed under the name Equus caballus (horse). RNAcentral's name for it is "lncRNA (ENSECAG00000031545.3)". Lineage: Eukaryota; Metazoa; Chordata; Mammalia; Perissodactyla; Equidae. The record is from RNAcentral.